GAUGGGGAAGCCACCUGUGUGGACGCUGUCUGCACCCACCGCCCUGACCCCGUGGGCCUCCAUGCCUCUGUGCUGGGAGCUGAGAGUCUCCACGUGUCUGCUCUUCCUCUCGGUGGCUCCAGGCUCUGCACCCUGGAGUUUAUGCAUGCAGAGAGAACACCAGCUGCAUUUCCGCAGCAUCAGCUGGAACCUCAGCAACCCGGAGCCCACAUCCUCGGAGUACGCCGCCCUGCUGAGGGACACCCAGGACCAGUAACCACACUGGAGUGGACUCCCUGUGUACCUUGCCGCCUUGGCACAGAGACUGGACAGAGUUGCCAUCUAUGAGGAAUUCCUGUGGCUGACCCAGAAUGGUACCCAGCUGCAGAACUUGACCCUGGACAGGAAGAGUGUCCUUGGGGAUGAAUAUUCUGCCAACAGAGAUGACACCUCGACUGAGAAGCCUAGUAAACCUGCAGGAAGCCCCAGCCCAUGGUAGGGGGCGAGUAUCUUGAUGCUGUGCCUCAUCGAAGAGAACCAUGCGCACAGGGUUUUGGAUGAUGAGGAAAGUUGGCCAACCCUUGUCAAGGACGGUUGAGGCACAGUGGGGUCAGCAGGAGCCCUGGGGCGAUGACAGGAGGUGGCUCACCCCAGCACUUGUCUCCCCAGACCACCCCGUCUGGGCCCUCAUCCUCAUCUGCUUGGCGGGAAUCCUGGUGCUCAUC
Molecule: long non-coding RNA, 704 nt
Organism: Diceros bicornis minor
Lineage: Eukaryota; Metazoa; Chordata; Mammalia; Perissodactyla; Rhinocerotidae
Exons: 3
Source: RefSeq, a predicted model, not a curated record